UGCGUAGGCGGCUUUUUAAGUCAGUGGUGAAAUCUUGCCGCUUAACGGUAAAAUUGCCAUUGAUACUGAAGAGCUUGAGUCCAGUUGAGGUAAGCGGAAUGUGUAGUGUAGCGGUGAAAUGCUUAGAUAUUACACAGAACACCAAUUGCGAAGGCAGCUUACUAAACUGUCACUGACGCUGAUGCACGAAAGCGUGGGGAGCGAACAGGAUUAGAUACCCUGGUAGUCCACGCCGUAAACGAUGCUCACUCGCUGUUUGCGAUACACAGCAAGCGGCCAAGCGAAAGCAUUAAGUGAGCCACCUGGGGAGUACGAUCGCAAGGUUGAA
This 328-nucleotide ribosomal RNA is filed under the name uncultured bacterium. RNAcentral describes it as "bacterial SSU rRNA". It matches the Rfam family "Bacterial small subunit ribosomal RNA", at positions 568 to 898 of the family's 1533-position model. The record is from RNAcentral.